AAAAAAAAAAAAAAAUAACAGAAAAGGAGCGAGCUUAUUGUUUUGUCUGAAUCUUCUCGCUCACCCUAAUUCGAGAAUGAUUUUUGCGAAUUCGCUUAGAAUUUAUGCGGCCUGCGAGUGCACAACGGACGAACACCAGCACGGACUUGGGUAAUUUGGUCGGUAUUUCGAUCAUUUGAGUGUUAAUGAUGGAGGGCUGGAGACAUCCGACCGGGCGUGGCCCUGAACGACUUUUUACCGAAGUCAAGAAAUGCAUUUGAAGUUAAAAUAGACGAUUUCAGGAAUACUUUGGUGCUAAAAGUACUUCAAUGCAUCGAGCUGAAGCGGAGUUAUUGGCAAUAAAAGGUCG
Long non-coding RNA from Dermacentor silvarum, 349 nucleotides. RefSeq lists it as uncharacterized. The record is from RefSeq and is a predicted model, not a curated record. Lineage: Eukaryota; Metazoa; Arthropoda; Arachnida; Ixodida; Ixodidae. The transcript has 3 exons.